AGUAACGGCGAGUGAAGCGGCAACAGCUCAAAUUUGAAAUCUGGCCCCCAGGGCCCGAGUUGUAAUUUGCAGAGGAUGCUUUUGGCGCGGUGCCUUCCGAGUUCCCUGGAACGGGACGCCAUAGAGGGUGAGAGCCCCGUCUGGUCGGACACCAAGCCAGUGUAAAGCUCCUUCGACGAGUCGAGUAGUUUGGGAAUGCUGCUCUAAAUGGGAGGUAUAUGUCUUCUAAAGCUAAAUACCGGCCAGAGACCGAUAGCGCACAAGUAGAGUGAUCGAAAGAUGAAAAGCACUUUGAAAAGAGGGUUAAACAGUACGUGAAAUUGUUGAAAGGGAAGCGUUUAUGACCAGACUUGGGCCCGGUGAAUCAUCCAGCGUUCUCGCUGGUGCACUUUGCCGGGCUCAGGCCAGCAUCAGUUCGUCGCGGGGGAUAAAAGCUUCGGGAACGUGGCUCCCUCGGGAGUGUUAUAGCCCGUUGCAUAAUACCCUGCGGUGGACUGAGGUUCGCGCUCCGCAAGGAUGCUGGCGUAAUGGUCAUCAGCGACCCGUCUUGAAACACGGACCAAGGAGUCGUCUUCGUAUGCGAGUGUUCGGGUGUCAAACCCCUACGCGUAAUGAAAGUGAACGCAGGUGAGAGCUUCGGCGCAUCAUCGACCGAUCCUGAUGUUCUCGGAUGGAUUUGAGUAAGAGCAUACGGGGCCGGACCCGAAAGAAGGUGAACUAUGCCUGUAUAGGGUGAAGCCAGAGGAAACUCUGGUGGAGGCUCGCAGCGGUUCUGACGUGCAAAUCGAUCGUCAAAUAUGGGCAUG
This 806-nucleotide ribosomal RNA is filed under the name Tolypocladium amazonense. RNAcentral describes it as "eukaryotic LSU rRNA". It matches the Rfam family "Eukaryotic large subunit ribosomal RNA", at positions 82 to 919 of the family's 3401-position model. Lineage: Eukaryota; Fungi; Ascomycota; Sordariomycetes; Hypocreales; Ophiocordycipitaceae. The record is from RNAcentral.